AGACCCGAAACCCGGUGAUCUAGCCAUGGGCAGGUUGAAGGUUGGGUAACACUAACUGGAGGACCGAACCGACUAAUGUUGAAAAAUUAGCGGAUGACCUGUGGCUGGGGGUGAAAGGCCAAUCAAACCGGGAGAUAGCUGGUUCUCCCCGAAAGCUAUUUAGGUAGCGCCUCGUGAACUCAUCUCCGGGGGUAGAGCACUGUUUCGGCUAGGGGGCCAUCCCGGCUUACCAACCCGAUGCAAACUGCGAAUACCGGAGAAUGUUAUCACGGGAGACACACGGCGGGUGCUAACGUCCGUCGUGAAGAGGGAAACAACCCAGACCGCCAGCUAAGGUCCCAAAGUCAUGGUUAAGUGGGAAACGAUGUGGGAAGGCCCAGACAGCCAGGAUGUUGGCUUAGAAGCAGCCAUCAUUUAAAGAAAGCGUAAUAGCUCACUGGUCGAGUCGGCCUGCGCGGAAGAUGUAACGGGGCUAAACCAUGCACCGAAGCUGCGGCAGCGACGCUGAUGCGUUGUUGGGUAGGGGAGCGUUCUGUAAGCCUGUGAAGGUGGCCUGUGAGGGUUGCUGGAGGUAUCAGAAGUGCGAAUGCUGACAUAAGUAACGAUAAAGCGGGUGAAAAGCCCGCUCGCCGGAAGACCAAGGGUUCCUGUCCAACGUUAAUCGGGGCAGGGUGAGUCGACCCCUAAGGCGAGGCCGAAAGGCGUAGUCGAUGGGAAACGGGUUAAUAUUCCCGUACUUGGUGUUACUGCGAAGGGGGGACGGAGAAGGCUAUGUUGGCCGGGCGACGGUUGUCCCGGUUUAAGCGUGUAGGUGUGUGUUCCAGGUAAAUCCGGUUCACUUUAACACUGAGGCGUGAUGACGAGGCACUACGGUGCUGAAGCAACAAAUGCCCUGCUUCCAGGAAAAGCCUCUAAGCAUCAGGUAACAUCAAAUCGUACCCCAAACCGACACAGGUGGUCAGGUAGAGAAUACCAAGGCGCUUGAGAGAACUCGGGUGAAGGAACUAGGCAAAAUGGUGCCGUAACUUCGGGAGAAGGCACGCUGACACGUAGGUGAAGUGAUUUACUCAUGGAGCUGAAGUCAGUCGAAGAUACCAGCUGGCUGCAACUGUUUAUUAAAAACACAGCACUGUGCAAACACGAAAGUGGACGUAUACGGUGUGACGCCUGCCCGGUGCCGGAAGGUUAAUUGAUGGGGUCAGCGCAAGCGAAGCUCCUGAUCGAAGCCCCGGUAAACGGCGGCCGUAACUAUAACGGUCCUAAGGUAGCGAAAUUCCUUGUCGGGUAAGUUCCGACCUGCACGAAUGGCGUAAUGAUGGCCAGGCUGUCUCCACCCGAGACUCAGUGAAAUUGAACUCGCUGUGAAGAUGCAGUGUACCCGCGGCAAGACGGAAAGACCCCGUGAACCUUUACUAUAGCUUGACACUGAACAUUGAGCCUUGAUGUGUAGGAUAGGUGGGAGGCUUUGAAGUGUGGACGCCAGUCUGCAUGGAGCCGGCCUUGAAAUACCACCCUUUAAUGUUUGAUGUUCUAACGUGGACCCGUGAUCCGGGUUGCGGACAGUGUCUGGUGGGUAGUUUGACUGGGGCGGUCUCCUCCUAAAGAGUAACGGAGGAGCACGAAGGUUGGCUAAUCCUGGUCGGACAUCAGGAGGUUAGUGCAAUGGCAUAAGCCAGCUUGACUGCGAGCGUGACGGCGCGAGCAGGUGCGAAAGCAGGUCAUAGUGAUCCGGUGGUUCUGAAUGGAAGGGCCAUCGCUCAACGGAUAAAAGGUACUCCGGGGAUAACAGGCUGAUACCGCCCAAGAGUUCAUAUCGACGGCGGUGUUUGGCACCUCGAUGUCGGCUCAUCACAUCCUGGGGCUGAAGUAGGUCCCAAGGGUAUGGCUGUUCGCCAUUUAAAGUGGUACGCGAGCUGGGUUUAGAACGUCGUGAGACAGUUCGGUCCCUAUCUGCCGUGGGCGCUGGAGAACUGAGGGGGGCUGCUCCUAGUACGAGAGGACCGGAGUGGACGCAUCACUGGUGUUCGGGUUGUCAUGCCAAUGGCACUGCCCGGUAGCUAAAUGCGGAAGAGAUAAGUGCUGAAAGCAUCUAAGCACGAAACUUGCCCCGAGAUGAGUUCUCCCUGAGACUUUAGGUCUCCUGAAGGAACGUUGAAGACGACGACGUUGAUAGGCCGGGUGUGUAAGCGCAGCGAUGCGUUGAGCUAACCGGUACUAAUGAACCGUGAGGCUUAACCUUACA
This 2242-nucleotide ribosomal RNA is filed under the name Salmonella enterica. RNAcentral describes it as "partial 23S ribosomal RNA". It matches the Rfam family "Bacterial large subunit ribosomal RNA", at positions 711 to 2925 of the family's 2925-position model. The record is from RNAcentral. Lineage: Bacteria; Pseudomonadati; Pseudomonadota; Gammaproteobacteria; Enterobacterales; Enterobacteriaceae.